CAAGGUCAGCAUGCUGACCUUGUAGUCCCAACCAAUAAGAAGAGGACAAAUCACCAAAAUUGAUGACAUAAGCUUAUUUGCCACAUCACCCCACUCCAGCUUAUUACUUUCUAAUGUCUGUCUAACCUGUUGAAAGCAAAUUCAAAAUAGCAAAUUCAAAUUUAGGAUGUGAAUGGGCGGGUACUGAAAAUUUCGUAUUUGAAAUCCUUUUCAAAAUUUGUUUUACAUAUCGUGGGUCAUUUCCCCAUCGCCAAACAAAAUGCUUUUUCUACUAAAGAUGGGUCAUUGUCUCCAACUUCUCACUCGACAUUGCCCCGCUCACCGUUGCACGCCUCUUUCACAUUUCCUCCUUGUAAUCCCUCGCUUCCUGAUUUGGAUAUUCAAAUGAGCAAUCCAAACUUUUAAAUCUGAGAGGUAGUUGUUCCUCUAACAAAGGAUGAGAAUGCUUGCUCCAAGAUUCAAGCAAUCACAUAUCCUUUCAAGCAAUAAAUGGGACAAACUUUGAGCAAAGGGAGCCUCGGCUUGCCAAGGAUGAAGAUGAGGAUGAGCAAUAGGCCAAGGAUGAGGAUCAACAAGUUGAAUGUGAAGGAGCUGUCAUUAUUGGCUUGGAUGGCAAGAUGAGAUGGAUAAGUGAUGAAGUUCCAAGAUUGAAGUCUGACUGCUUUCCUUAAAAAAUAGGAUUUGUUAGUUAGAGGUAGAAAUUAUUAAUAACUUAUUUCCUAGACUUUUGGAAGUGUAGAGGAUAGGAUUAGGUUGUUUGCUAGUCAGUAGUUAUCAAGUUUAUGUUAAUAGUUGGUGCUUAUCAUAAGUUGUAUUGCACAUAUGUUGUGCAUUGAAUGCUAUUUAAAGGGAAACAAAUUAAUAAAGAUGGAAACAAAAUAUUAACACUCAAAUUCAUGAGUGAUUGAGGUCA
This is a long non-coding RNA of Quercus robur (English oak), 913 nucleotides long. RefSeq lists it as uncharacterized. NCBI's taxonomy places the organism in Eukaryota, Viridiplantae, Streptophyta, Magnoliopsida, Fagales, Fagaceae. The transcript is spliced from 2 exons. The record is from RefSeq and is a predicted model, not a curated record.